GGAAGUACCAGCUUGACCUUGGAGACUACCAUUGCAUCAAGGUUAAAAAUCUGUGCUUCAGGAUUUGAUGAACAUUGGAGAGCAUUUUCUGCAUCCUGCUGGCUGAGGAAGCGUUUUUCCUGCAAAAGGCUGUCGAGAUCCUUGAAGAAGUGGUAGUCGGUUGGUGAGAAGUCAGGUGAAUAUGGCGGAUGAGGCAAAACUUCGUAACCCAGUUUGCUCAACUUAUGGAAGCAUUGGUUGUGCAAUGUGCAUUCGGGCGUUGUUGUGGAGAAGAACUGGGCCCCUUUCUGUUGACCGAUGCGACCGUAGACCUUUCAGUUUUUGACACAUCUCAUCAAUUUGCUGAGCAUACUUCUCAGAUGUAAUGGCUUCACCGGGAUUCAGCAAGUUGUAGUGGAUCAGACUGGCAGCAGACCACCAAACAGUGACCAUGACCUUUUUUGGUGCAAGUUUGGCUUUGGGAAGUGCUUUGGAGUGAGAAGAAUCUAGUUCCAACCACUGAGCUGGUCAUCAUCAGUUGUCAUAUGAAAUCCACUUUUGUCGCACAUCACAAUCCAAUCAAGAAAUGGUUUGUUGUUGUUGCAUAGAAUAAGAUGACGCUUCAAAACGACAUUUUUUUUUCUCAGCUCAUGAGGCACCUAUGAGUGGGUACUUAUUGAGCUUUUUCACCUCUCCAAUUUGCUUCAAAUGCCAAACAACCAUAGAAUGGUAGAUGUUGAGUUUUUCAGCAACUUCUCGUGUUGUUUUAAGAGGUUCAGCUUCAAUGACUGCUCUCGGUUGUUGUCAACUUCCGACGGCCAGUCACUAUGCUCCUUAUCUUCAAGGCUCUCCCCUCCUUUGCAAAACUUCUUGAACCACCACUGCACUGUACCUUCGUUAGCAGUUCCUGAGCCAAAUGUGUUGUUGAUGUUGCAAAUUGUCUCUGCUGCUUUACGACCCAUUUUGAACUCGAAUAAGAAAAUUGCUCAAAUUUGCUUUUUGUCUAACAUCAUUUUUAUAGUCGAAAAUAAACAGCAAGUAAGAAGUCAUUAGCAAAAAACAUAAAGUGAGAAAUGUACAUUAAAGUGAUAUAUAACAUAACAUUUAAUAAUGUAUUCCAGUAUCAAAUGGCAAAUUUCAACAAUGCAAAAAUCGCAGUAACUUUUGCACCAACCUAUACUAUUUAAAACUACAACUUUACACAAAACCAUUUUAUAGCUAACUCAUCCUUUCUUUUCUUGUCAGGUAGGGAUCAGAAUAAAUGCAAAGGUUGACACCUAUCAUGCUUAGAUCAAGAAUACCCAAUCUCUGAGUGAACUUCAUUUCCCUGAAGCUUGGAGAUCGUUGGGCAGAGGAUGAAAGAGUUGAUAAUAAAAUUACAGAUUGUAGUUGGGGUUGGGGGACUGCUACCAAGACUGGAAUUUGCCUUGAAGUCAGCAAUCAACCCUUCAAAGCUAGGCUAAGAAAUCAAAGGCUUGUCAUGUAUUUGUUUUAAGUUUUCCUGCAGGAAGGUUUUUAAGGAUUUAAGAGUUCAAUUUUAUUACACUGAGAGAGGGAGAGAGAGAUUGCUAUCUCUUGUCCUGAAAGAGCAAAUAGCUUGGAUAACCUCAUUUUCCAAAAUGCUAUUUAUACAACUGUGAGGUCAUGGUAGUUUAGGUAGUUUAGACUUCCUGGGUCUUCCUGGAUUGUAGCCAAGUGACUUUUUCAUUUUCACAUUACAAGAAAAAUUGUCAUGUCAUCUUGGAGUGGUGUCACAUUGCUGGGAAGAGCCCAUUUUUAUUGGCAGCAUGAUCCUCAAACCACUGUAUUACCUAUCACCCUGCUGUUUGAUGGAAUGGACCCACUUCUUGUCUGGAGAGUCUAUCCUCACCCUGACUGCACACAAUUCCCCAAACAGCACCUCUGCCAGCCUUGAGUAGAGACUAAAUAUCUGUGUGCUCCAGGAAAAGCCAGAGGACUCAAGAUUGGCCCACUAAGAAAGUGUGAGGCUUGUGGGUGUAGUGACAUCAGAGCCAUUUAUUAACAGUUUGGGUUUAUGUCUUGAUUUCCCAGGGGCAGGGACAACAAUGUGAGCAACUACUUACAGAUCCCACAGGAUCAAGGGGCUUUUUCCCACUAAAUUUAGUCUGCCGGAAACCCGGAUAAAAAAGUCACUCCUCCUUGAAGGAAGUCCCUACCUGCAGCUGCUGGUGUCAGUACUGGAAUCUCAUCCCAGUGUGACCUUCAUUGCCUCUGUCAGUGUGACAGGUUCCACAGAGCUGUCACCCUGCAAACUCACCCUUCCUCCAGGAGCACAGGCGCAGAGCUGCAGUGGAGGGUACCUGUGUGGCUUCCUUGUCUGACACAGAUUUGCCUUCAUCUGGUAAGUCCCACCUCACUCCCCCAGUUCCCAGGAAAGGGCUUUCUUAAACCAGCACAGCCCUGGAAGGGCCUCUCUUGUUUCAGGUGGGAGAACCAGCCCUUGUGGCAUUCUGCAGGGCUUUGAAGUGAAAAGAACACAUGGAUGAUUAUUCUUGUGGUUUCCCUAAUCUGUGUGCGGAGGGCAGAAGGAGCCAGGUGAUCCUGUGUUUGAAAUAAAACAGGUUACUCUUCUGAAAAAGGAGGAAGCAAUUUGCUUCUGUAAGUACAAAUCCUCCUGCUGAACCCCUGGGCCAGCCACCUCUAGCUGGCUUUCAAAUGUGACAAAUUGGUGCCAUUUCCAGUGAUGGCUGUGAGGCACUUUUCACAAGCUCACUUGUUUUUCAGCAGCUCUCACCUCCACAAAGAGACAAAGGAAAACCUAGAGGCCUAGACUGUGGGGAAGAAGUGCCAGAACAAUCUGCUGAAAGUUAAAAAUAAGUCUUAAAGUCAGCUCACUGCUGUCUGUUUUCCAAGGUCAGACUGACUGAUGAUUUUAGUCAAAACAGCCAAACUAGCUUCCCUGUGACCUCUGUUCAAGGUGGCUCCCCGUGGCACACCUGAUGGCAUCCAUUCAUGGUCCUACUGCUCAGAGGGCCUAUGCUGCCAUGUGUAAGAGCUGAAAAAUAAGCAAUGCAUGACAUCUUCUUCAAUGAGCUUUUAUACCAGUAGCUAUUCACAGGGUUCUUAUGACUAGCUAAAAUAAUUUGAGAAUCAGGCUCUGUGCGAUAUGUUAAUAUUUGGAUACAUUUUCUAAUGAAAUCCCUAUAAUCUCCUUACAGCCCUGUGAGGAGGGUACUGGUCACUACCCCUAUUUUGAAGCAGGCUUUCCCAAUGUGCUGAUUAUUUUCUGUCUGCCUCUCUCCCAUGAGUUCUCCACCCUUCACUACCCUGCACUGUGCUCAGAAGGCUGGUCCUUACAGACAGCACAACCUGACUCCCUUGUGAGCUGACUUUGGUAGGCCUCGGGAGAUCAGAGUAGGAAGAGAAGAGGUCAGGGUGCUUCUUUCCAACUUCCUCCGUCCUUGGGGAGCCAUUUCUUGCAGCAGCUGCAACUCUCCAUGGACUACUCGGCAAUUGGAAGCAGGCUUCCCUCCAAGGUGCUCAUGCUCACUGGGCUCUGGGACAGCAUUUUCUCCUUUCUGCCUCCUGCCCAGAUGAGUGAUGGCUUCCCACUGCUGCUAGACCCUGGAUGCCUCUCUGGCUUGUUUGUUCCCUCUACCCUGUCUUCACCUCCAUAAGUAGCCACUUCAUUAAAGUAUCAUCAUUUGAACCAAUGUGCUAUUGCCAAGACCCUGAAUAACACACCCAGCCAAAAAAGGUGCAGGCCAGAGAUGCAAACUCAUGGUAUUCAACAGUAGGGGAGGAGAAACAUAAGCUGAAAAUAAAACGAAUAAAAUUACAAGAGCUAUGAGAAAGUUACAGAAAGUGUUAUGGGAAAUCAAAGGCCAACAAAAAUACUUUGUAGAAGAUGUAACAUUGUGUUAGGCCUUUGAAAAAUGGACAGAAUGUAGACAGAUGGAUAUGAAAGAGUUUCAGAUAUGAACAAAGACAGCAAGGCAAAAAAAAAGCACAGAGCACAUCUUGGGAACAGAAGUGGUUCAAUUGUAGAAGUGGGGUAAACUUACGGAUGACGUUUUUCAAACUCCAUUCUUUUUUUGAGACAGGGUCUCACUUUGUCACCCAGGCUGAAAUGCAGUGGUACAGUCACAGCUCACUGCAACCUUGACCUCCCAGGCUCAAGCCCCCCAGGUAGCUGGGACUACAAGCACACGUCACUAGGCUCAGCUAAUUUUUGUAUUUUUUUGUAGAGAUGGGAUUUCACCAUGUUGCCCAGGCUAGUCUUGAGCUCCUGAGCUCAAAUUCUGUUCUUUAGAAGGCUUCUAUAUUGUGAACUGUUACUUCUGUAUUGAAAAAAGGAUUCCGUGGUCAAAUAAGAUUGGGCACCUUUGAGAUAAACGAGCUUAACUAGAUUUCUUUAUGCAAGACUUCUCAGAGUAUUUGAAAUGGUAAUAUCCAUAUUUAACUACCUUUUUUUACAGGCAAUUUAUUGACCUCUUCCAGAAGUGUGGGAGGGAAUAGAAUUUGGGAAACACAUAUUGUCCAAUAGCAUUCUUUAAUCCUGGGGGACUCCAUGGUAGAGCAACUCAGAACACCCUGUAGUGGCCAAAUUCAGAGCAUACUGCAAAGAGUUCUGCAGAAAGCCAGUCAAAUGUCAUAAAUCAUGGACAAAUGGCACCUAGAAUGCCACCAUGUAGCCAUAGCGUGAGUAGUGAAAUGUAAUUAGCAGGCCAAGUGGAAACUGAAUUUGUUAUCUGACAUGAACUGUAAGGAAACAAUGGUAAACAGACCCUAAAUGGAAGUUCAGAUUAACAUUCUGGAGAGUGUGAGAGCCCCAGUGGUAAAAUUUCAUGUACACUCACUGUGUCCUGUUCCUAGUGGCUGGCAAGCUAAAUUAUUUCUGAUCUAAUAUUUUUAACCAAUUAGAAUUUUAUUCAUUAAUUUAAUCAUUUAUUAAAUUAACAUUAAAUAAGCCUUUACAAAGAGCUAGGUUCUCUGCUAGACUAUAGCAGAAAACUAUAAAGACUAAAAAGGAAAACAAGACAGAUUUCCUACUCAUAAGGAGCUCUGGACUGCUUGAGUUUCAACAUGUAAAUAUAUAUAAUUACAACAUAAGAUAUAAUUUUAAUACAACCCUCUAAAAAACAUAAGUUAAACUUACAAAUCUAGCACCGAAGGGUUUGGAAGCCUUCAGAGAACAGCUGAUAUUUGAGCUUGAAGGAUGAAUAGAAUUUUCCACAAAGUAAAGGAGAAACCUCAUAAAAGACCCAAAUUCAAAUAUCCAGACCCCACACUGAACCACAUGAAAGCUUACUCCUUAUAAAGGAGUAAAAAGAGAAUCCAACAUUUAUGGAUAAAUAUAAACAAAAAUUGAAAACAAAAUAAUUUUCCAUAAAAGAUUUUUAAAGUUGUAAAGAUUUCAGAAAAAAAAUUUCCAAUAUAAAAUCUUCAUUUUCUCUUUUGUUCUUGAUCAUAAGAUCCAGUAUGCAAGUUAGAGUAGAUCAGAGAAGCCCCAUGCUGGCCACUUCAAAUUUGGAGACUUCAAAUUUGACCAGAGAAAAUGAGAAACACAUAGUUAUUCCAAAAUGUUCCCAAUAUUUCAGUUUACAAUAGUGCCCAGAGCAUACAGGAAAUUGCAAGUACUCAAGUCUAUUUUUCUUUCUGAUAAUUUUAGAUUGGCAUAUUCUAAGUAGGAUUAGAGUAAAGCUUUUACUUGCUGUGCAGCUCUUUUUUUCCUACCAUAUGUACCAAUAUGACAAUUUAACCCUACAAUAAUUUUGUAUGUUAAGCUUUUAUAUAUUACACCUUCACAUAUUUACAUUUAGAGUGCCUGACUACCUAUGUUUCCAAAGACUUAAAAUGAGUAAUCUAUACUUAACAAAAAUAGAAAUUUUUAGAAAGUUUUGAAUGUAAUACAAAUAUAUUUGUUUUCUGUAUUAAGUGCUGUAGAGAUUUGAGUGGUUUAUCUUGUUAGAUUUGUUUUUAUUACAGGAAUUUUACUAUGGGGGUUUUACUUUUUACAAGGAAAAUUUUAAAUUAAACAUUAUAAGAAAAAUGUGAUUUUGCCCUAAAAAAACACUGACAAAUAUAUAAACCUUGUAAUAUUCAUGGUUCAAUAGGUAAUUGUUCAAUGAAUGAACUGAUGGUACCAUAGAGGAGAUUGGAGGAGGAGACAAAAAAUACAACCAUGGCUCUCAUUUGAAUCUAUAAUUCUUCCUGAAUUCAAUAUUAAAACUCUCUUGCCUGUAGACCAGACUGAAGACAAGAUUUGGGGGUGUCAACGGGAGUCCUGGGAUACAUUUUUUCUUAUAAAGUCUGGAUUAAACUUUUUAGCAUGGAUAAUAUAA
Molecule: long non-coding RNA, 6284 nt
Filed under: Homo sapiens (human)
Lineage: Eukaryota; Metazoa; Chordata; Mammalia; Primates; Hominidae
Description: HSALNT0364250
Source: RNAcentral